Molecule: non-coding RNA, 45 nt
Organism: Echinostoma caproni
Lineage: Eukaryota; Metazoa; Platyhelminthes; Trematoda; Plagiorchiida; Echinostomatidae
Source: Rfam
GCACUGCUGACGAGUCCCAAACAGGAUGAAAUAGCUGUCCAGUGA